RNAcentral lists this ribosomal RNA (507 nucleotides) under uncultured bacterium. RNAcentral's name for it is "partial 16S ribosomal RNA". It matches the Rfam family "Bacterial small subunit ribosomal RNA", at positions 28 to 507 of the family's 1533-position model. The record is from RNAcentral.
GACGAACGCUGGCGGCGUGCCUAAUACAUGCAAGUCGAACGCAUUUUCUUUCACCGUAGCUUGCUACACCGAAAGAAAAUGAGUGGCGAACGGGUGAGUAACACGUGGGUAACCUGCCCAUCAGCGGGGGAUAACACUUGGAAACAGGUGCUAAUACCGCAUAAUUCCAUUUACCGCAUGGUAGAUGGGUGAAAGGCGCUUUUGCGUCACUGAUGGAUGGACCCGCGGUGCAUUAGCUAGUUGGUGGGGUAACGGCCUACCAAGGCUGCGAUGCAUAGCCGACCUGGGAGGGUGAUCGGCCACACUGGGACUGAGACACGGCCCAGACUCCUACGGGAGGCAGCAGUAGGGAAUCUUCGGCAAUGGACGCAAGUCUGACCGAGCAACGCCGCGUGAGUGAAGAAGGUUUUCGGAUUGUAAAACUCUGUUGUUAGAGAAGAACAAGGAUGAGAGUGGAAAGUUCAUCCCUUGACGGUAUCUAACCAGAAAGCCACGGCUAACUACGUG